AGCUUGGCCGACGCCUGGCCGCCGCCGCGCGCGUGGCCGCCCUUGGGCUUCUCCGGGGGCGGCGGCGGCAGCUUGUCGGGGAUCCAGAACGCGGCGAUCGUCGAGUAGCCCGUGCCCGUGCCGUGCGAUAUCCGCUCCCAGCCCUCCUGUGACCGUUUGCAUACAUAUGUAUACUUAGAGGGCUUCCUAGAGGGAGAAAAUGGCACUAUCCUGUUACAGUCACAGGACAAACGCACAGCACUAUCACACUGUGCAUAUGAUGAUGACAUUGGCCAGUCUAAGACGAGACACCAGCUGGAAAAUUUGCCCUCCGGACAUUGCCGCAAGCUAGCUGAUUGCGACCCCGGCAUGCAUGGGUCUAGGGCCAAUGCAGCAGCAAAACAGAUUAAGAAGCGCAACUAACUCUAAAUAUGAUGCACCGUGUAGAAUGCCAUAAGGAAGGAAGCUGACACAACAGAUGCAUGUGUGUCACCAUCUUGGGAAACAGGUCAUCAGGUGAGAGGAAUUGGGGUGGGUGAAGAAAGAGAGGCAGGUAGGGAACGCGCACCAAGACUGGGUGCGCGCGCAUGCAUCCGGCCGGGCAGUCCGGCAGCGGAACAGCCGGCGGCUGCUUGAAGGG
RNAcentral lists this long non-coding RNA (619 nucleotides) under Coccomyxa subellipsoidea. RNAcentral describes it as "long non-coding RNA (CSUB_LNC000023)". Lineage: Eukaryota; Viridiplantae; Chlorophyta; Trebouxiophyceae; Coccomyxaceae. The record is from RNAcentral.